This 253-nucleotide ribosomal RNA is filed under the name uncultured bacterium. Its description in RNAcentral is "partial 16S ribosomal RNA". It matches the Rfam family "Bacterial small subunit ribosomal RNA", at positions 524 to 776 of the family's 1533-position model. The record is from RNAcentral.
UACGGAGGGGGCGAGCGUUAUUCGGAAUCAUUGGGCGUAAAGGGCGCGUAGGCGGCUUCAUAAGUCUUGGGUGAAAGCCCUCGGCUCAACCGAGGAAUUGCCUUGGAUACUGUGAAGCUCGAGGCUGGAAGAGGACAGUGGAAUUCCCGGUGUAGCGGUGAAAUGCGUAGAUAUCGGGAGGAACAUCUGUGGCGAAGGCGACACCCUGGACCAGCACUGACACUGAGGCACGAAAGCGUGGGGAGCAAACAGG